GACGAACGCUGGCGGCGUGCCUAAUACAUGCAAGUCGAACGCUUUUUCUUUCACCGGAGCUUGCUCCACCGAAAGAAAAGGAGUGGCGGACGGGUGAGUAACACGUGGGUAACCUGCCCAUCAGAAGGGGAUAACACUUGGAAACAGGUGCUAAUACCGUAUAACAAUCGAAGCCGCAUGGUUUUGAUUUGAAAGGCGCUUUUGCGUCGCUGAUGGAUGGACCCGCGGUGCAUUAGCUAGUUGGUGAGGUAACGGCUCACCAAGGCCACGAUGCAUAGCCGACCUGAGAGGGUGAUCGGCCACACUGGGACUGAGACACGGCCCAGACUCCUACGGGAGGCAGCAGUAGGGAAUCUUCGGCAAUGGACGAAAGUCUGACCGAGCAACGCCGCGUGAGUGAAGAAGGUUUUCGGAUCGUAAAACUCUGUUGUUAGAGAAGAACAAGGGUGAGAGUAAAUGUUCACCCCUUGACGGUAUCUAACCAGAAAGCCACGGCUAACUACGUGCCAGCCGC
Molecule: ribosomal RNA, 514 nt
Filed under: uncultured bacterium
Lineage: Bacteria
Description: bacterial SSU rRNA
Rfam family: Bacterial small subunit ribosomal RNA
Source: RNAcentral